Molecule: transfer RNA, 79 nt
Filed under: Vannella croatica
Lineage: Eukaryota; Discosea; Flabellinia; Vannellidae
Description: tRNA-Tyr
Rfam family: tRNA
About the family: Transfer RNA (tRNA) molecules are approximately 80 nucleotides in length. Their secondary structure includes four short double-helical elements and three loops (D, anti-codon, and T loops). Further hydrogen bonds mediate the characteristic L-shaped molecular structure. tRNAs have two regions of fundamental functional importance: the anti-codon, which is responsible for specific mRNA codon recognition, and the 3' end, to which the tRNAs corresponding amino acid is attached (by aminoacyl-tRNA synthetases). tRNAs cope with the degeneracy of the genetic code in two manners: having more than one tRNA (with a specific anti-codon) for a particular amino acid; and 'wobble' base-pairing, i.e. permitting non-standard base-pairing at the 3rd anti-codon position.
Source: RNAcentral
AAAGAGAUGGCUGAGUGGUUAAGGCGGCGGCCUGUAAAGUCGUUAUGGAAACAUGUCGUGGUUCAAUUCCUACUCUCAA